UACAGAGGGUGCGAGCGUUAAUCGGAAUUACUGGGCGUAAAGCGCGCGUAGGCGGCUCUGCAAGUCGGGUGUGAAAUCCCCGGGCUCAACCUGGGAACUGCAUUCGAGACUGCAUUGCUUGAGUAUGGGAGAGGGAGGCGGAAUUUCAGGUGUAGCGGUGAAAUGCGUAGAUAUCUGAAGGAACAUCAGUGGCGAAAGCGGCCUCCUGGACCAAUACUGACGCUCAUGUGCGAAAGCGUGGGGAGCAAACAGG
Molecule: ribosomal RNA, 253 nt
Filed under: uncultured bacterium
Lineage: Bacteria
Description: partial 16S ribosomal RNA
Rfam family: Bacterial small subunit ribosomal RNA
Source: RNAcentral